UACGUAGGUGGCAAGCGUUGUCCGGAUUUAUUGGGUUUAAAGGGUGCGUAGGCGGUCCUAUAAGUCAGUUGUGAAAUACGGCAGCUUAACUGUCGAGGUGCAAUUGAUACUGCAGGACUUGAGUACAGACGAGGUGGGCGGAAUUGACGGUGUAGCGGUGAAAUGCUUAGAUAUCGUCAAGAACACCGAUAGCGAAGGCAGCUUACUAGACUGUAACUGACGCUGAGGCACGAAAGUGUGGGGAUCAAACAGG
This 253-nucleotide ribosomal RNA is filed under the name uncultured bacterium. RNAcentral's name for it is "partial 16S ribosomal RNA". It matches the Rfam family "Bacterial small subunit ribosomal RNA", at positions 524 to 776 of the family's 1533-position model. The record is from RNAcentral.